AACUGCGAGUGAAGCGGGAAAAGCUCAAAUUUAAAAUCUGGCAGCCUUUGGCCGUCCGAGUUGUAAUUUAGAGAAGCGUCUUCCGCGCUGGGUCGUGCACAAGUCUCCUGGAAUGGAGCGUCAUAGAGGGUGAGAAUCCCGUCUUUGGCACGAACGUCGGUGCUUCUGUGAUGCGCUCUCGAAGAGUCGAGUUGUUUGGGAAUGCAGCUCAAAAUGGGUGGUGAACUCCAUCUAAAGCUAAAUAUUGGCGAGAGACCGAUAGCGAACAAGUACCGUGAGGGAAAGAUGAAAAGCACUUUGGAAAGAGAGUGAAACAGUACGUGAAAUUGUUGAAAGGGAAACGCUUGAAGUCAGUCGCGUCGACCGAGACUCAGCCUUGGCUUGGCUUGGUGUACUUCUCGGCUCGACGGGUCAGCAUCAAUUUUGUCUCUCGGAUAAUGGCAGGGGAAAGGUGGCACCUUUACGGGUGUGUUAUAGUCUCUUGUCGCAUGCGAGGGGUGGGAUUGAGGAACUCAGCACGCACCUCGGUGUCGGGGCUUUU
Molecule: ribosomal RNA, 541 nt
Filed under: Lactarius sp. HL-2018n
Lineage: Eukaryota; Fungi; Basidiomycota; Agaricomycetes; Russulales; Russulaceae
Description: LSU rRNA
Rfam family: Eukaryotic large subunit ribosomal RNA
Source: RNAcentral